RNAcentral lists this ribosomal RNA (480 nucleotides) under uncultured bacterium. RNAcentral describes it as "partial 16S ribosomal RNA". It matches the Rfam family "Bacterial small subunit ribosomal RNA", at positions 28 to 508 of the family's 1533-position model. The record is from RNAcentral.
GAUGAACGCUAGCGGGAGGCCUAACACAUGCAAGCCGAGCGGUAUUGUUUCUUCGGAAAUGCGAGAGCGGCGUACGGGUGCGUAACACGUGUGCAACCUGCCUUUAUCUGGGGGAUAGCCUUUCGAAAGGAAGAUUAAUACUCCAUAAUAUAUUGAACGGCAUCGUUUAAUAUUGAAAGCUCCGGCGGAUAGAGAUGGGCACGCGCAAGAUUAGCUAGUUGGUGAGGUAACGGCUCACCAAGGCGAUGAUCUUUAGGGGGCCUGAGAGGGUGAUCCCCCACACUGGUACUGAGACACGGACCAGACUCCUACGGGAGGCAGCAGUGAGGAAUAUUGGUCAAUGGGUGCAAGCCUGAACCAGCCAUCCCGCGUGAAGGACGACUGCCCUAUGGGUUGUAAACUUCUUUUGUAUAGGGAUAAACCUACCCUCGAGAGGGUAGCUGAAGGUACUAUACGAAUAAGCACCGGCUAACUCCGUGC